This is a non-coding RNA of Trichonephila clavata, 91 nucleotides long. Lineage: Eukaryota; Metazoa; Arthropoda; Arachnida; Araneae; Nephilidae. The record is from the annotation of a GenBank genome assembly.
GUAGUCGUGGCCGAGUGGUUAAGGCGAUGGACUUGAAAUCCAUUGGGGUCUCCCCGCGCUGGUUCGAAUCUUCCGGCUGCGCUCGUCUUCU